Pelobates cultripes (western spadefoot toad) is the source of this 590-nucleotide non-coding RNA. Lineage: Eukaryota; Metazoa; Chordata; Amphibia; Anura; Pelobatidae. The record is from the annotation of a GenBank genome assembly.
CUGAUUCUGAAAAUGUGAAUGUGAUGCAUACUUUUAAAGUUAUGAAUAAUAUGGAAAAACUGUAUCUCUCUGCCUGUGAUAAUUACAUUACCCAUUGUGUAAGGUUAUUGUAUCACAGGCAGGAUUGUAUCACAGGGGAGGAUUUUGUGUGGGAGUGUCUGAGUGUAUUGUACGUGUUUAUUGGUUGUUUUCCAAAACCCUGUGGGUGGUACUAAUGUGUAAGAAUGUGUAUAUAAGGCCAAUAAACCCACAGCUCUGUCUGUUCCUGCUUGACCCUCAAAACGGAGCCUUGUCUCGUUCUUGGGGGGAUUUAUUGUAUGCUGUUCCAGUUCGACUGCUAGGAGUGUAAACCUAUUCGUAUGGUUUUUCCUAUUCAUCUGUUUACGGCAUUCAUAUGGUUUCCUGCUCGGCGGAUUGGUGUCUUUGGUAGCUGCCUGUAUAUCUGGAAGAAUAUCUACUAAACGGCUUUAACCCCUUUUAUGCCUGGGGGUGCCGUUACAAUAGACAACUAUUACAAUGCACACAGUCAUUGAUGCUAAAGGGGGCAAUACACAGUAUUAAGAACAAAGGUUAUGCAGACUUUUGAACAG